Molecule: ribosomal RNA, 540 nt
Filed under: uncultured Bacteroidota bacterium
Lineage: Bacteria; Pseudomonadati; Bacteroidota
Description: bacterial SSU rRNA
Rfam family: Bacterial small subunit ribosomal RNA
Source: RNAcentral
GAACCUACGGCCGGCCUAUACACUGCAGUCGUAACGGUGCCUUCGGGCAUAGUGGCGCACGGGUGCGUAACACGUAUGCACCUACCUUACAUUGGGGGAUAGCCUUUCGAAAGGGAGAUUAAUACCGCAUAACACAGUGAGUUGGCAUCAGCUUACUGUUAAAGAUUUAUCGAUGUAAGAUGGGCAUGCGUCCAAUUAGUUAGUUGGCGAGGUAACGGCUCACCAAGACGAUGAUUGGUAGGGGAACUGAGAGGUCGAUCCCCCACACUGGCACUGAGAUACGGGCCAGACUCACUACGGGAGGCAGCAGUAGGGAAUAUUGGGCAAUGGACGCAAGUCUGACCCAGCCAUGCCGCGUGCAGGAAGACGGCCCUCUGGGUUGUAAACUGCUUUUAUAUAGGAAGAAAGAAUCCUUGCGAGGAUAGUUGACGGUACUAUAAGAAUAAGCACCGGCUAACUCCGUGCCAGCAGCCGCGGUAAUACGGAGGGUGCAAGCGUUGUCCGGAUUUAUUGGGUUUAAAGGGUGCGCAGGUGGUUUAU